GCGGGUUUAGCCAAGCAGGAAAGGCAACGGCCUUCCAAGCCGUCACGCGCGGGUUCGAUCCCCGCAACCCGCUCCA
RNAcentral lists this transfer RNA (76 nucleotides) under Burkholderia pseudomallei. Its description in RNAcentral is "tRNA-Gly(tcc)". It matches the Rfam family "tRNA". Rfam says of the family: Transfer RNA (tRNA) molecules are approximately 80 nucleotides in length. Their secondary structure includes four short double-helical elements and three loops (D, anti-codon, and T loops). Further hydrogen bonds mediate the characteristic L-shaped molecular structure. tRNAs have two regions of fundamental functional importance: the anti-codon, which is responsible for specific mRNA codon recognition, and the 3' end, to which the tRNAs corresponding amino acid is attached (by aminoacyl-tRNA synthetases). tRNAs cope with the degeneracy of the genetic code in two manners: having more than one tRNA (with a specific anti-codon) for a particular amino acid; and 'wobble' base-pairing, i.e. permitting non-standard base-pairing at the 3rd anti-codon position. The record is from RNAcentral. Lineage: Bacteria; Pseudomonadati; Pseudomonadota; Betaproteobacteria; Burkholderiales; Burkholderiaceae. RNAcentral also lists the same sequence under 2 other names.